CAUGCUGGAGGUAUCAGAAGUGCGAAUGCUGACAUAAGUAACGAUAAAGCGGGUGAAAAGCCCGCUCGCCGGAAGACCAAGGGUUCCUGUCCAACGUUAAUCGGGGCAGGGUGAGUCGACCCCUAAGGCGAGGCCGAAAGGCGUAGUCGAUGGGAAACAGGUUAAUAUUCCUGUACUUGGUGUUACUGCGAAGGGGGGACGGAGAAGGCUAUGUUGGCCGGGCGACGGUUGUCCCGGUUUAAGCGUGUAGGCUGGUUUUCCAGGCAAAUCCGGAAAAUCAAGGCUGAGGCGUGAUGACGAGGCACUACGGUGCUGAAGCAACAAAUGCCCUGCUUCCAGGAAAAGCCUCUAAGCAUCAGGUAACAUCAAAUCGUACCCCAAACCGACACAGGUGGUCAGGUAGAGAAUACCAAGGCGCUUGAGAGAACUCGGGUGAAGGAACUAGGCAAAAUGGUGCCGUAACUUCGGGAGAAGGCACGCUGAUAUGUAGGUGAAGUCCCUCGCGGAUGGAGCUGAAAUCAGUCGAAGAUACCAGCUGGCUGCAACUGUUUAUUAAAAACACAGCACUGUGCAAACACGAAAGUGGACGUAUACGGUGUGACGCCUGCCCGGUGCCGGAAGGUUAAUUGAUGGGGUCAGCGCAAGCGAAGCUCUUGAUCGAAGCCCCGGUAAACGGCGGCCGUAACUAUAACGGUCCUAAGGUAGCGAAAUUCCUUGUCGGGUAAGUUCCGACCUGCACGAAUGGCGUAAUGAUGGCCAGGCUGUCUCCACCCGAGACUCAGUGAAAUUGAACUCGCUGUGAAGAUGCAGUGUACCCGCGGCAAGACGGAAAGACCCCGUGAACCUUUACUAUAGCUUGACACUGAACAUUGAGCCUUGAUGUGUAGGAUAGGUGGGAGGCUUUGAAGUGUGGACGCCAGUCUGCAUGGAGCCGACCUUGAAAUACCACCCUUUAAUGUUUGAUGUUCUAACGUGGACCCGUGAUCCGGGUUGCGGACAGUGUCUGGUGGGUAGUUUGACUGGGGCGGUCUCCUCCUAAAGAGUAACGGAGGAGCACGAAGGUUGGCUAAUCCUGGUCGGACAUCAGGAGGUUAGUGCAAUGGCAUAAGCCAGCUUGACUGCGAGCGUGACGGCGCGAGCAGGUGCGAAAGCAGGUCAUAGUGAUCCGGUGGUUCUGAAUGGAAGGGCCAUCGCUCAACGGAUAAAAGGUACUCCGGGGAUAACAGGCUGAUACCGCCCAAGAGUUCAUAUCGACGGCGGUGUUUGGCACCUCGAUGUCGGCUCAUCACAUCCUGGGGCUGAAGUAGGUCCCAAGGGUAUGGCUGUUCGCCAUUUAAAGUGGUACGCGAGCUGGGUUUAGAACGUCGUGAGACAGUUCGGUCCCUAUCUGCCGUGGGCGCUGGAGAACUGAGGGGGGCUGCUCCUAGUACGAGAGGACCG
RNAcentral lists this ribosomal RNA (1440 nucleotides) under Escherichia coli. RNAcentral describes it as "partial 23S ribosomal RNA". It matches the Rfam family "Bacterial large subunit ribosomal RNA", at positions 1269 to 2694 of the family's 2925-position model. The record is from RNAcentral. Lineage: Bacteria; Pseudomonadati; Pseudomonadota; Gammaproteobacteria; Enterobacterales; Enterobacteriaceae.